This 274-nucleotide ribosomal RNA is filed under the name uncultured bacterium. Its description in RNAcentral is "partial 16S ribosomal RNA". It matches the Rfam family "Bacterial small subunit ribosomal RNA", at positions 523 to 796 of the family's 1533-position model. The record is from RNAcentral.
AUACGAAGGGGGCUAGCGUUGUUCGGAAUUACUGGGCGUAAAGCGCGCGUAGGCGGAUUGGUCAGUUAGGGGUGAAAUCCCAGGGCUUAACCCUGGAACUGCCUCUAGUACUGCCAGUCUUGAGUUCGGGAGAGGUGAGUGGAAUUCCUAGUGUAGAGGUGAAAUUCGUAGAUAUUAGGAAGAACACCAGUGGCGAAGGCGGCUCACUGGCCCGAUACUGACGCUGAGGCGCGAAAGCGUGGGGAGCAAACAGGAUUAGAUACCCGAGUAGUCC